GAUCACAGCCUGAGCGGUGACGUCUUCCUUUACGUGCCUCUUCAAUCAUUGGCGCAAGAGCAACAUCAUCAGCCUUGGUCGUCAAAAGGUUUCCUGUAUUACAUACCUACCAAAUGGAAUUCGAAUGUCAUAACUCUGAACAUUCUCCUAGUGCUGCCCCUUGUGGAUGCGGCAUGAGGUGAACCGCGAAGGCGAAUUUGUGUUCCAAGACAUCCGCAACGUGCAUUGUUGUCUUGGCCCGCGAACUACAGCCUGAGCUCUCGGAUGCAGAAUACCAGGAGGGCAGGAGGUCUCUACCUCUGUGUGCCCGCACUCAGCGUUAAUCGCUCGCAUCGAACGACUGUCGUCGUCGCCUCGAGAAGUCAAGUCCCUCGGGCAUGUCGUGCUCGAGCGACGUCGGCGUCUGUGAAGAAUGCUACCUGGUUGAU
RNAcentral lists this unclassified non-coding RNA (428 nucleotides) under Greenea corymbosa. RNAcentral describes it as "partial external transcribed spacer". The record is from RNAcentral. Lineage: Eukaryota; Viridiplantae; Streptophyta; Magnoliopsida; Gentianales; Rubiaceae.